AUGGCUUUAAAAAACGAAUAUUCAGGAUUUUGUUUCCAUAAAGAGAAAUCAAAUAACAUUGAUGUUAUUGAUGAAUAUAUAAGCGCAGAACAUUUUUAUUUGAAUUAUAUUUUAAAAAGAAAGCCAUGUCUAUUAAAAAGAAAAAAUAUAAUUAAAAAUAAACACAAUAUAGAUAUAAAAUUUUUGAAGGAAAAUAUAGAAAAUGUACCUGUUGAAUUAGAACAAAAAGUUUCAAAUUCUUUUGGGACAGGAGAAAAGAAAAAAAUGAAUUUUCAUGAAUUUUUAUCAUUAAUAGAAAAAGGAAAUACUGAUUACUAUUUAAAUACACAAUACAUAAAAGAAAAUGCUUAUUUCCCAACUGAUUUCUGUAACUCAAUUACUCGCCAAAUAAUAAAUUAUCUUCCAAAACAAUUAGAAAUAAUGGGUAACUUAGAAAUUUAUCAGUACAAUAUUUGGAUAGGAAAGAAUGAAGAUAAAGACUUAAAAACAUUUUUACACCAUGAUUAUCAUGAUAAUAUAUAUGUACUAUUGAAAGGAAAGAAAAUAUUUAGGAUUUAUAGUCCAAAUUUCGCAAAUUUGUUAAAAAUGAAUGGAAAUAUUUAUCGUAUUUAUAAUAAUGGAUUAAUCACAUAUUCCCCAUUCAUUAGAAGUGAUGGAUCUAAUUACUUAGAUGUAUAUAAAAAAAAAAUGGAUAGGGUGUACCGUGAUAUGAACAUUAUGACUAAACAAAUUAACAAAAAAAACAAUUUAUUAAAACACAAAGCUAUAGAACAAUCCAUGGAUAAAGCGGAACAGAUAUUAAAUAAACUAGAAGAUAACAUUUUAAAUUACAAAAUAAGAAAAUCUAAAUUUCGAUAUAAAAAUAACGCAAGAGACGACAUACCAAACCACUUCUGCCUCAUUAACACUAUAGAAAAAAAACAAGAAGAUGAUAUUUUUACUGACACUACUGAAAUACAAAAAAGAUAUAUUGAAGUCUGUGUAGAUGAAGGAGAUAUAUGUUAAGAACAAACAUGACAAGAGUUAACAUUAACAUAAUAUAUAUAUAUAUGUGUAUAUUCAUAUAAACACUUUUGCGGAUUUUUUUUUAUUUUUUUUAUUUUUUUAACAGUGUAUUUACCA
Molecule: long non-coding RNA, 1122 nt
Filed under: Piliocolobus tephrosceles (Ugandan red Colobus)
Lineage: Eukaryota; Metazoa; Chordata; Mammalia; Primates; Cercopithecidae
Description: lncRNA (ENSPTEG00000019328.1)
Source: RNAcentral